Non-coding RNA from Coffea arabica (coffee), 279 nucleotides. Lineage: Eukaryota; Viridiplantae; Streptophyta; Magnoliopsida; Gentianales; Rubiaceae. The record is from RefSeq and is a predicted model, not a curated record.
AGCAUUUUCCACAGAGUUGACUGGUACAGAGUGGUUUUGGAUGAAGCUCAUACCAUCAAGUCCUCUAAAACUCUAGGUGCCCAGGCUGCCUUCAAAUUGUCAUCCUAUUGCAUGUGGUGUCUUACUGGUACCCCUCUUCAGAACAAGUUGGAAGACCUUUAUAACCUACUUUGCUUCUUGCAUGUUGAACCAUGGUGUAACUAGGCUUGGUGGCAAAAACUGAUUCAGAAGCCAUAUGAGAGUGGUGAUUAUAGAGGGAUAAAGCUGAUCAAGGCUAUU